UUUCAUGUUUUAAGAAAUUAAAUUAUUGAUUUUAUUUAAUAAAAUUAAUUAAAUAAUGAGAGUUUUUACAACCACACGUAUAAUUAAAUAGACAUAUAAUUAAAUAGACAGUGGGCCUCUUAUUCCUCUAUAUAAACUCCACCUAAAACCCUAAAACUCCACCCGACUCUCACGGUUUCCUCUCAUCUUUCCUUUCUUUCUUGCCGCUUUCUUUUCAAAUUUUUUUUCCCAUAUUCUUCUUUUUUUUCUUUCCUUUAUUUUCCUUUCUACCUAUCCAUAUUCUUGUUUUCUGCUUCUGAUACAAUAGCUAGGAACACCAUUGUGGAGGAAAGGAGAUGCUUAAAUUAGACAAUGAGUUUUUCAUCCAUAACGGUAACAUCAUCAACAAGGGAUGACGCUGCUAAUCAAGUCAACCAUCUUAUAUCUUUCACAGCAAAAACAUUACAAUAGAUCAAACAUGAGAGGCGAGAAGUUUUAUUAUUUUACAGGAUUUAGCGGCGACUGCUGGAGAAAUUGCCGGCAGAUUUAGCGGCGACGGUCGAUUUUCGUGAUCCAUUUAGAGGUUCUGUAAGUUGGAAAAAUCAGCGGUGUUCCUGUGAUUGUUGAAUUUCGGAGGGUUUAAGAAGAGGUUGUUAGCAGAUGAUUUGUUCCUUGGAAAGGUUUGAAAAGGUUGUAUAGGUAAAUUCAUUUGGUAUCCAUAUGGCAUAUAAUUCAAUGUAUUCUGAUAAGAGAGAUUAUGGGUCAAUUUUAGAUGCAUUCAACUAAGAUGCUUGAAUCUUACAAUAUGCAAUUUCUGAUUUAUGCAUAAAACCUUAGAUGUUCCCAAUGUUCCCAAAGCUUAAAUAUCAUCUAUUCAACGCGUGCAUUCACAAAGCAUGGAUUUAGUAACUUUUACGAGUCAAAGAA
Long non-coding RNA from Vigna radiata var. radiata (mung bean), 906 nucleotides. RefSeq lists it as uncharacterized. The transcript has 3 exons. The record is from RefSeq and is a predicted model, not a curated record. Lineage: Eukaryota; Viridiplantae; Streptophyta; Magnoliopsida; Fabales; Fabaceae.